CCCCACUGGGAGCACUGGUCCAGACUGGGGGGCACUGGGAUGGACUGGGGGGGGGGUGGGGGUGGUUACUGGUGGGCCUACUGGGGCGUAGUGGAGCGCACCAGUUCAUACUGGUCUGUACUGGGGGGCACACUGGUUCAUACUGGUCCAUGCUGGUGUCCGUACUGGGCCAUACUGGGGUGUACUGGGGCCAUACUGGUCUGUACUGGGGGGCACACUGGUUCAUACUGGUCCAUGCUGGUGUCCAUACUGGGGCCAUACUGGGGCCAUACUGGGGUGUACUGGGCCAUACUGGGCACAUACUGGUCUGUACUGGGCCAUACUGGGGUGCACUGGUCACAGACUGGGCACAUACUGGUCUGUACUGGGCCAUACUGGUCUGUACUGAUCACAGACUGGGCACAUACUGGUCCGUACUGGGGCCAUACUGGUCUGUACUGGUCACAGACUGGGCACAUACUGGUCCGUACUGGGCCAUACUGGUCUGUACUGGUCACAGACUGGGCCAUACUGGUCCGUACUGGGGCCAUACUGGUCUGUACUGAUCACAGACUGGGCACAUACUGGUCCGUACUGGGGCCAUACUGGGGUGUACUGGUCACAGACUGGGCACAUACUGGUCUGUACUGGGGCCAUACUGGGCUGUACUGGGCCAUACUGGUCUGUACUGGUCACAGACUGGGCACAUACUGGUCCGUACUAGUGCCAUACUGGUCUGUACUGGUCACAGACUGGGCACAUACUGGUCUGUACUGGGGCCAUACUGGGGUGCAUACUGGUUUGUGUUGGUCAGUACUGGUUUGUACUGGUUCAUACUGGGCAGAGGUGCAGGGCCAUGUGAGCUGCAGGCGCACACUGGGGUGCGCGGUGGCCCGUACUGGGCCGUACUGGUCCAAACUGGUCUGUAUUGGUCAGUACUGUGUUGUACAGAGUGCUACUGGUUUAUACUGGUUCAUACUGGUUUAUACUGGGCUGUACUGGGCAGAGCUGUGGGAGCGUGGGUGCUGGGCUGCCAGUGCCCUGUACUGAGUUAUACUGGUGCAGGCUGGUCCACGCCAUUUUAUGGUGGUCUGUACUGGUUUAUACUGGGCUGUACUGGGCCAUACUGGUCUGUACUGGUCUGUACUAGCCCGCACUGGUGUAGGGCGUCCCAUACUGGUCCAUACUGGUAUAUACUGGUUGGUGGUGGGAAGGGUGGGUGAACUAGGGGUGCGCCCUGGGGUGCCCAGUGCCUGUUGUUACCUUGUACUGGCACAUACUGGGCUGGAAUGGUCUGUACUGGCCCGUGUUAUUCCGUAUACUGGUUUGUAGUGGAGUUUCCUGGCUUAUACUGGUCUAUACUGGUCUAUACUGGUCUAAACUGGUCUAUACUUGUUUAUACUGGUUUAUACUGGUCUAUACUGGUCUAUACUGGAGUUUCCUGGCUUAUACUGGUCUAUACUGGUUUAUACUGGUUUAUACUGGUCUAAACUGGUCUAUACAGGUUGCUAUUGGGCAGAGUGCGUGCAGGCUGGGGUGUGAGCUGGGCCGUGUGCUGCCUUACAGCGGUCUGUAUGGGUUUGGGGGGGCUUGUACUGGGAGUUUCCUGGCUUAUACUGGUCUAUACUGGUCUAUACUGGUUUG
Non-coding RNA from Phalacrocorax carbo (great cormorant), 1623 nucleotides. The record is from RefSeq and is a predicted model, not a curated record. Lineage: Eukaryota; Metazoa; Chordata; Aves; Suliformes; Phalacrocoracidae.